UAGCAUAGUUCGCAUUUCUCUUGUAAUUGCAGCGGUUUUUGCUCCCCUGCUAAGGGAGUAGGCCGGGAAACCGGCGCGAGGGUUCAAAUCCCUCCUUCCGCGCCA
Molecule: transfer RNA, 105 nt
Filed under: Caudoviricetes sp.
Lineage: Duplodnaviria; Heunggongvirae; Uroviricota; Caudoviricetes
Description: tRNA-Ser
Source: RNAcentral